UAUUUAACUCAAAUACUUCAA
Non-coding RNA from Caenorhabditis elegans, 21 nucleotides. NCBI's taxonomy places the organism in Eukaryota, Metazoa, Nematoda, Chromadorea, Rhabditida, Rhabditidae. The record is from Ensembl.